GCUUACGGCCAUACCACCUUAGGCACGCCCGAUCUCGUCUGAUCUCGGAAGCUAAGCAGGGUCGGGCCUGGUUAGUACUUGGAUGGGUGACCGCCUGGGAAUACCAGGUGCUGUAUGCA
This 119-nucleotide ribosomal RNA is filed under the name Gadus morhua (Atlantic cod). Lineage: Eukaryota; Metazoa; Chordata; Actinopteri; Gadiformes; Gadidae. The record is from RNAcentral.